AGCAGUCGCCGCGGUAAUACGAAGGGUGCAAGCGUUACUCGGAAUUACUGGGCGUAAAGCGUGCGUAGGUGGUGGUUUAAGUCCGUUGUGAAAGCCCUGGGCUCAACCUGGGAAUUGCAGUGGAUACUGGAUCACUAGAGUGUGGUAGAGGAUAGUGGAAUUUCCGGUGUAGCAGUGAAAUGCGUAGAGAUCGGAAGGAACAUCUGUGGCGAAGGCGACUAUCUGGGCCAACACUGACACUGAGACACGAAAGCGUGGGGAGCAAACAGGAUUAGAUACCCCUGUAGUCCCUGUCUCUUAUAC
RNAcentral lists this ribosomal RNA (303 nucleotides) under uncultured bacterium. RNAcentral's name for it is "partial 16S ribosomal RNA". It matches the Rfam family "Bacterial small subunit ribosomal RNA", at positions 507 to 807 of the family's 1533-position model. The record is from RNAcentral.